This 465-nucleotide ribosomal RNA is filed under the name bacterium. RNAcentral describes it as "bacterial SSU rRNA". It matches the Rfam family "Bacterial small subunit ribosomal RNA", at positions 188 to 639 of the family's 1533-position model. The record is from RNAcentral.
CCUGUAGAGAGGGGGAAAGAUGUNGUCGGCGAUCUCUACGGGAUGGGGCCGCGGCGCACUAUCUCGAUGGUAUGGUAACGGCUUAUCCUGGCGACGAUGCGUACCCCACCUGAGAGGGUGAGCGCCCACACUGGGACUGAGACACAGCCCACACUCCCACGGGAGGCAGCAGUAGGGAAUCUUCCCCACUGGACGAAAGUCUGACAGAGCAACACCCCGUGAGUGAGGAAAGCCUUCUCGUCGUAAAGCUCUGUUGUGAGGGAAAAAACGCUACCGUUCUAAUAUGGCGGUACCUUGACGGUACCUCACCACAAAGCCACGGCUAACUACAUGCCACCACCCGCGGUAAUACGUAUGUGGCGAGCGUUGUCCGGAAUUAUUGUGCGUGAAGCGCGCGCACGCGGCUUCUUAAGUCUGAUAUGAAAUCUCNNGGCUCACCCCCCNGCGGCCAUUGGAAACUGGGGA